RNAcentral lists this long non-coding RNA (478 nucleotides) under Oryza brachyantha (malo sina). RNAcentral's name for it is "long non-coding RNA (OBRA_LNC003249)". The record is from RNAcentral. Lineage: Eukaryota; Viridiplantae; Streptophyta; Magnoliopsida; Poales; Poaceae.
GGAGACGAACAACACACACAGCACUAGCACUAGAGAUGAAUAUAGAGGCAGAUCAGCAGCGAUGCAUAUGGGUAGGUAGUUUGUUGGCGUAGGAGGCAUCAGGAGUUGUCGGUUCACCACGAUGUUCUUAGGAUUCACAGUCAAUAUGUGGAACGGAUUGUUGCCGCCGGUGUGCAACUCGUUAUCGUGUGUACGUGCUGCAUGCUUAUGUCCAUGGAGCUCUGACUGUGUCCUCAAUAGCUCUGGAUGCUCACUGCAGAUGCAGCUAUCGAUGUUGUCGAUUAACUAUCUAUAUCUUUUCCGCACAAUCGGACGUACGGGGCAUGAAAUUAUACAUGUUUGUUCGAUUCAGAGGUUUAAGUUGGUAGAAAUUUUUCUAUAUUUCUCUCUACAACUGAUAGGAAAAAAUGUUCUGGUUUUUCAAUACUUCAUUUAUUCAAAACUAAUGUUUUUCAUAGGAAUUAAUUCCUAGGAAUCC